RNAcentral lists this ribosomal RNA (1586 nucleotides) under Serratia marcescens. Its description in RNAcentral is "partial 23S ribosomal RNA". It matches the Rfam family "Bacterial large subunit ribosomal RNA", at positions 1 to 1629 of the family's 2925-position model. RNAcentral also lists the same sequence under 1 other name. The record is from RNAcentral. Lineage: Bacteria; Pseudomonadati; Pseudomonadota; Gammaproteobacteria; Enterobacterales; Yersiniaceae.
GGUUAAGUGACUAAGCGUACACGGUGGAUGCCUAGGCAGUCAGAGGCGAUGAAGGGCGUGCUAAUCUGCGAAAAGCGUCGGUAAGGUGAUAUGAACCGUUACAACCGGCGAUACCCGAAUGGGGAAACCCAGUGUGUUUCGACACACUAUCAUGUCAUGAAUACAUAGUGGCAUGAGGCGAACCGGGGGAACUGAAACAUCUAAGUACCCCGAGGAAAAGAAAUCAACCGAGAUUCCCCCAGUAGCGGCGAGCGAACGGGGAGGAGCCCAGAACCUGAAUCGGCUUGUGUGUUAGUGGAAGCGUCUGGAAAGUCGCGCAGCAAAGGGUGAUAGCCCCGUACACUAAAAUGCACAGGUCGUGAGUUCGAUGAGUAGGGCGGGACACGUGACAUCCUGUCUGAAUAUGGGGGGACCAUCCUCCAAGGCUAAAUACUCCUGACUGACCGAUAGUGAACCAGUACCGUGAGGGAAAGGCGAAAAGAACCCCGGCGAGGGGAGUGAAAUAGAACCUGAAACCGUGUACGUACAAGCAGUGGGAGCACCUUCGUGGUGUGACUGCGUACCUUUUGUAUAAUGGGUCAGCGACUUAUAUUUUGUAGCAAGGUUAACCGUAUAGGGGAGCCGUAGGGAAACCGAGUCUUAACUGGGCGAAUAGUUGCAAGGUAUAGACCCGAAACCCGGUGAUCUAGCCAUGGGCAGGUUGAAGGUUGGGUAACACUAACUGGAGGACCGAACCGACUAAUGUUGAAAAAUUAGCGGAUGACUUGUGGCUGGGGGUGAAAGGCCAAUCAAACCGGGAGAUAGCUGGUUCUCCCCGAAAGCUAUUUAGGUAGCGCCUCGUGAACUCAUCUUCGGGGGUAGAGCACUGUUUCGGCUAGGGGGCCAUCCCGGCUUACCAAACCGAUGCAAACUCCGAAUACCGAAGAAUGUUAUCACGGGAGACACACGGCGGGUGCUAACGUCCGUCGUGAAGAGGGAAACAACCCAGACCGCCAGCUAAGGUCCCAAAGUCAUGGUUAAGUGGGAAACGAUGUGGGAAGGCAUAGACAGCCAGGAUGUUGGCUUAGAAGCAGCCAUCAUUUAAAGAAAGCGUAAUAGCUCACUGGUCGAGUCGGCCUGCGCGGAAGAUGUAACGGGGCUAAACCAUGCACCGAAGCUGCGGCAGCGACGCUUAGGCGUUGUUGGGUAGGGGAGCGUUCUGUAAGCCGUUGAAGGUGGCCUGUGAGGGUUGCUGGAGGUAUCAGAAGUGCGAAUGCUGACAUAAGUAACGAUAAAGCGGGUGAAAAGCCCGCUCGCCGGAAGACCAAGGGUUCCUGUCCAACGUUAAUCGGGGCAGGGUGAGUCGACCCCUAAGGCGAGGCUGAAAAGCGUAGUCGAUGGGAAACAGGUUAAUAUUCCUGUACUUGGUGUUACUGCGAAGGGGGGACGGAGAAGGCUAGGCUAGCCGGGCGACGGUUGUCCCGGUUUAAGCGUGUAGGGGGUGUGACCUGGUAAAUCCGGUUGCAUAUCAACCCUGAGGCGUGAUGACGAUGCACUACGGUGCAGAAGUAGUUGAUGCCCUGCUUCCAGGAAAAGCCUCUAAGCUC